RNAcentral lists this long non-coding RNA (772 nucleotides) under Homo sapiens (human). RNAcentral's name for it is "HSALNT0233320". Lineage: Eukaryota; Metazoa; Chordata; Mammalia; Primates; Hominidae. The record is from RNAcentral.
CUUGAGGUGGCUUCCGGCCGCCAGGCGAGACUCCGCGGGAAAACUCCCUGCUAGAGAGACUAGGAGAUUUGGGGCUGCGGCCGUUUCCUCCGGAGCACCCACGGGACUGUGUGCUGGGGUCCCUCCACCGGCUGUGUCCUUUAUUCUUCUUUCUCACCCAACGAUUUACCUGAACGGUUAUAAAGUGCACGUUAUUUCCCUAAGGUCCUUCUUACUGAUGUGUUGCUCUUCUUCAUGGCUCGUGAAAACUAUUAGAGUCAUCCAAGGUUUGGAGACAGAAAGGAGCACCGCCAAGUGAGGCAGAGCAGUCUCAGAAACAUAGGAAAAUGGUGGGAAGAGAGAUCAGCAACGUUAACUGGGUGUCAAGAAAACAUACCGAGAUUGAAGCCAUCCACUUCUGCAGGAACACCGAAAAGAAAGGUACAACGCUUGGGGAAAGACUGGAUUUCAUUAGGGACAGUGACAAUACCUGUUUGACAUAGAGGUUCCAGCGCUGGCCAGGGAACUCCCUGAGCACUAGUAAUGCCAGUGUCAGUUGUAGAAUUCUUUUAAAAUUUGAGUUAAUAGGGUCACUACUUUUUGAAUGCCUGCUGCAGAAACUAAGAAAAAUGGCUGGCUGAGCCAAUAGAAGAGGAUUUUGUAGCUCAACUCCUGGGGAAGAAAAUACUCCUUUUGACGGAGGGCAGGUGCUGUAGACCUUGCAAGGACAUAGCCAGUCUGCAAUGUCAUCUAGGCCCACCCGCUAAAGUUUUAAAAGUAAAGUAAAGUAUUU